GGGACGGGAGCGGGCCCGGGGCGGGCGCGGUGGCUCCGAGGGGCAGGGGCGCCUCCGGACGCCCGGUGCCCGACCCCCGAGCCACGGCGGGAGGCGACUGACUCCGCAGCGCUACUUGGCCGCUUCAGCCCGGGGACGGAGAGGCGCAAGUGACGGCCAUCGACAGGACAUCGGGGCUCGGGACGGAGGGACGGAGCUCGCCUCACCGGCGCGGCGCGGACACGCGCGGCCGCUCCCCCCGCAGCCGCCAGGGGGCGCCGCUCCCGCGCGGUGGUGGCGAUUCCGCGCCCCGGCGGUGCCCGCGCCCGCUCCGCGUCCCACGACAGGGCCGGCCGCGGCACCGUGAGGGUGCCAGAGAUGUACCGGAGCAGAAGCUAGAGGUAGAAGGCACAUCUUACAACCAGCCUCAUCCUGGAGAAGCUGUGGCAAAGCCCUCCUAUAUUCUGAUAACAAACUCCUGCGGCCUAACGUGCGCAGUCCUCAGCCAAGCCCUUGCUAGGAGCGCUUGACUUUGAAUAUCUGUAAGUGAAGACCGAGGACGCGGUGCUGGGUAGUGGAUUGCCGUGCGCUAUAUUUAGAAAGCAGCUGGAAGAGAAAAUGUCCUCAGGAAUCCGGGCUGGUUUAUUGUAAAUGUCCCUCCAGCCCCAGCACUGUGAACGUAAACGCUGGCUCCUCAGACGUGCCAGCGCUCCGCACAGCCGGGGAGCGCUGGAUGAGGACGGGCCGGGGCAGCCCUCGGUGGAUGCUGCUGGCGGGCGCACCGCAGCGGGACGCAGCCAGCCCCGCUUCAGGGACACAGCCCCGCAGCUGCGCCGGCCUGAGGCUUCUAAUGUGAGGAAAAACACGCGGUGACAAGUGUAGAAAAGAGCAAGCACUAAAUUACUGUCAGAAAAAUAAACGGCGGAGCGCGGUGCUGCGCGGUGAUUUACGGGGGCAAUUAGCCACCGCCCCACGGAGCUGCCGAGGGCGGCGGGGCCGCCGCAGCAUCCCCCGGACCUGGCCCGGCUCUCGCCCCAGGCUCGGGCCCCCAGGCCUCGCCCCCCGCCCGCGGCUCUUUUUUUGCCCACCCCAAACACGGGGGUGCGGGAGGAGGGGGCGGCUGCCCCCCGAAGCCGGAGCUGUGUUCGCGGGGAUGGUGGGUGUGCUUGUUCCUUGUGGAGACCCGCUGGUGCCCAGGUGCACGGGGUGACGGGAGAGGUGAGGAAAGUACACGGAAAAUACUCUCGGAGAAGGGAAGCUGGGGCUGGGGGAGAGGAUGGAGGUGGCUCUGCAGCUGCUGCAUAUCUUCUGGAGGUGCCGUGGGCCCCUGGGUGUCCAGCCUGCCCUGCAGUCCUGGGGAAGGGCCAGCUCUGCCGCCAACUGGGAGCACACAUUAAACAGGUCUUAAUGCUGUUGUUUCACCAGGAUGGAGUCCAGGAGAGAUGCUCUAAUUUGCAGCUAGCAGCAGGCAAAGUACAGGCGAUCCACACUCUGGUUCAGCCUGGGGUGGUGGCAGUGAGCCCCCAGGCAGCACUUUGUGGGGCUUCUCAGGGGGGCAGCUGGAACAACCACCAAGUCUCUGGUCUAGCGUGGUCUUUGGCUGGACCCCAUGGCUGGGAAUGGGUACCUGCGCCUGAGAUCCUCCAGACUCUGGUUUCCAUCUUUAGGUAUCACAGCGUCCCUCCUUUGCCCCAACUCAUGUUACUGGAUCCACUUCAAAUAUGUGGUGGUUUUGUAACUUUGUGCCACCCUGUCUGCCAUUCUUGACCAAGCUGGCCUUACUGAGUUCGUGUUUGUAUGGCUACUUCCAUUUUGUAAGGCUGUAUGGGACACCUAGGGCUUGUGUCUGUCCCCUGAGCAGGGCCUGGCUCCUGCAGGAGGUAGCAGUAUCUGACUUGGGAUGCAUGCUCCCGUUAGAUUGCCAGGCCAGCGUCUGGCUCCUCCAAAUAGUUGGCACUUGGAUUGUGGGAGACAGCCUGUCCGAGCUUUACUGCAACAGCUGGUGCCAGCCAGCUCUUCAAGGAUGGGUGCCAGCAGCAGGAGGAGUGCGCCAGGGCCUGCUCAUCAAACAGACCGGCAGCCGUCCCGUGGCUACCACCGAGGGACAAAGGGAAAAGCAGCAGAGCAAGUCCCCCUCGACAUGGCACCUCGAGGGAAAGGCAGGCGUGUGCCUUUUGAAAGAGGAUGCAAGCUGGAGGAUGAAGAGCUGGUGCAGGUCCCAGCGACUCUGGUAUCUGGCCUUCCCUGCCUGCUCCAGCUUCCUAGCUGGUGGGAAGUGUGUAAUACCUGCCCACGGGAAGCACUCGAGACUUAUGAAUGGAAAACGGAUCAUGGAGGUGAAGCAGCAGUGUUUAUUUUGGGUUUUGCCCUUGGCUGCUUCCUUGAUUUCUAGAAGUGGUUCUCGGGGGGAUGUGGGUGCAUGCGCACACGAGGUGCUCCUGGUGCUUGCCUUCUUCCCUCGCAAGGCAGAGCCCUGCUGCUCCCGCAGGUUGCUAGGCUGCCUCCUAUUAAGUGAUGUGACCAACAUCUCUCUCAUGCAAUUCUCUUCCUCCCACUGGAAAAACUGUUUAUGUCCUUUAAAUAAAUAUUUAAUAUCUUUCA
Molecule: long non-coding RNA, 2580 nt
Organism: Falco peregrinus (peregrine falcon)
Lineage: Eukaryota; Metazoa; Chordata; Aves; Falconiformes; Falconidae
Exons: 5
Source: RefSeq, a predicted model, not a curated record